GGAGAGGCGCGCACGAGCGGACCCCGACACGCAGGGACACGCAGCACCAGCCGAGAUACGACCGAGGCACGCACGCGCAGGCACGCACACACACACACUCCAGUCUCCCUCUCCCGGCCGAGGCUGUGCGGCCCACGCUCUCCACCCCUCUCCGACCCCCAGCCGCGGGAGCCGAGCAGGGAGGUACCAGGCUAGGCCCUCCCCAUGCCCACCACUGCCGUGACUCUGGGUGCUGGGGUCCCAGCAGCCAGGCCCAAGAGAACCCCAGGGGCUGGCGGUGGCACCAAAAAAACACGUCCAGACCGUGGUUUCGCCUUGGCCUCCGCGCUGGAGGCGGAUAGGUGUCUGGAGUAACAGGACAUGUAUCCCAGGGACUGACCAGCAGGGAUGGGAAGGACCAUGGGGUGGAACUUACAAGGACACAGUGGCUUGAAAGGGGACAGAAGACAGGAAUUCGAGAGAGACUCGAAGCACCCACGCCACCUGGGCUUCUUGGAGGAAGAGGCAUGGGAGUGGGAGAUGGUUGGUUGAGGCCCUGUCCAGUGGGACCACACUGGGCCUGUUACCCAUAUACCCUACCCAGUGAGGGGCCCAGACUCCAGGACCCAGGACACACCCCCAGCAGGACUGGAGGGUCCCACUGGUGAGACAGGAGCUCUUGAGUCUUGGGGUCUUGGUGAGGCCCAGACGAGAGGUGGCUGGUUGCAGGGGGCGUCCUGAGGGACAGUGGCUCCCAGGGCAGAUUUCCCCUGCUUGGGUGGGGCUGGGCCAGCAGUGUCCCCUGGACAGGAGAACCCUACCCCGGCCCUCCCUCGGAGUAGCCAUGGCCCUCUUCCAGGGCCUCCUCAGCUCAGAGCUGGGAGGUGGGGGACGUGGGGGGGUGUCUGCCAGGAUGUCUCCUCCUUCCCCACCCUCUCCUGGAGGAUGCGCCGCGGGAGAACGGAUGGGGCUCCACAGGCUUCCUUCCUCCCUUUCAGGCAGGUGAGACACCGCGGGGCCGUGCGGACGGCCAGCACUCGACUUUGCCUAAAAAAGGAAGCAGCAGGCUGAGGCUGAGGAGCUGGCGGCAGGAACAAGGGAGAGCUGUGUCCCCGCCGGCGCCCCCCACCCCCCCUGCCGGGGAUCUUGGCAGUGGAGGUGCUGGCUGCGCUCCACAGACCUCAGACCUCGGCUGGGACCAGAAAUGCCUGGUGCUUCCGCCUGGGCCCGGUGGGGGGACUUUGGGUCCCCAGAGUGCAAGCUGUACCACUUCGAGGGGCCUCGCCAGGCCCCCCAGCCCCCAGUACACAGGGGCUGCCGUGGAGAUGACGCUGAAGGCCGCAGCCGCUGGAGGACCUGGGGUCUGACCGGAAGCUGGCUGCAGACCCUGCGGAGGCACGUCCAGGUAGUCAGGCAGGGAGCUGGGCCGAGGGUCCCCCACCCUGGGGAGGCUCACAGCCAGUGGCCCGCUUGUCCCCCACCCUCGCCCAGCAGGCGGGCCACAGUCACACCUCAGCCAGCCUUGCAGGGCUGACGGGGAAGUUUCCCUCACUUCUGGAAAAAGUGAGCGGGUCUUCUUGGCUGUGACUCAGGCCCUCAAGGAAGCGGCCGCCCUCCUCCCUUCAGCUCGCCAUCAGCGGGAGAAGGCACAGGAGGCCUGGCCUCCACCCAGCCUGGGCCGAGCUCAGCCACCUGCCUUGCUCCCGGCUCUGCCUGGAGUCCCUCCAGCUAGGAGACCCUCCCCAUCAGCUCUCCCCGUGCCCCUCAGUCUUCAGGACUCAUUCUUGUGUCCUGCCCUCCCCCCGCUGUCUCCACCCCGGAGGAGGGACGUGGACAGAGGGUCCCAGAGAGCAUGGGGUCAGCCAGAGGUGCAGUGUCAGGGCCCGGGCCGGACUUGAGGCAGACACCGGAGGAAGCACAAAUAUAACAGCCGGAACCCUCCACUCUCCAGGGAGAAGGGCCCGGGGUAAGAGGCAGAGGCAAGGACGGGUCAGGCCAGAUCACAGUGGGUGCUGGCCCCGAGCCCUCUGCCUCCUGCAGGCACAGCCCCUGUCUGAUCCUGGUGGCCUGGGGCCCCAUGGGGUGGGGAGCAGCCUGGUUUGGCUGCGGCCACCCCGCCCCCACGGUCUGGGCCUGGGCUGUGGGAGUCCCUGUGCCUCACUUCCCGGAGCCAGCCUGCCCUGCCGGUCUGUCUGCAGGCAGGUGGAGAGAGUUCCAGGAAGCUGGGGAGGCUGCUGUCACCCGGGCACCGCCCCUGCCCCCACCCGCCUUUGGGAAUGCUCCCUCCUCCGCACAAUCCAGGCUUCUGCAGAAGAUGAAGGGCCUUUUGUCCCCAGCUGGCUGUGGUCAUGUUUGACCCUGGGUAAAAGGGCAACUCCUGAGGCCUCUGACCCCACCCCUGACCCGAGCUGAGGGCAGGACGCCCAGGCCCGCACCCGGCGCCUUUUGUUGCUGUUUUCACGUAUCUCACAAACGUACUCAAGCACACACAGGAGCAGAUGGACGGGGCGGUGAGGGGCAGCAGUGGUGAGGGGCAGCGGCGGUGAGGGGCAGCGGCGGUGAGGGGCAGCGGUGCGGGCCUGAGGCACUGCUCUGGGGUGUGCCUGAGCCCACCCCACAACAGUAAGUGGGGCAGAGCAGGGGUCACCAAGAGAGCAGGGCCCACGCAGCUCCUAGACUCAACCUGCUCACUGGGGUCAAGGACAGGUCUUGGGGGCCUCGGGGGUCACUUUUCACUUCCCAGGAGCCCAGGCCUGCCCCUCUGGCCCCAGAGCUGACCCCCCUCAGUCCCCCGUGCCAGCAGCAGCUGGGGUGGCGGGUAGACACCUGGCGGGUAGCAGCCUGGGUAGGGGUGGGAGCUGCACCAUCUGCGUCUGUCCAUCCAUCCCUCGUCUGUGUGCUGGGCACAGCCGCGCCCCAGCCUCAGUGCUGGGGACACACAGGCGCCGGGCCAGCACUGCCAGGCUAGGAGGGUGGGCGGUGAACAGCUAGGAAAGAUACGGUCUACUUGUUUUCCCUGUGAGAACAGGGGGUCACUGGGGACUCGCACGCAAGGGGUACCCGAGGAAGAGCCUUCCAGGCAGAGAGAAGGAACCGCGAGUGCUGAGAGCAGGGUGGGGUGGGCAGGAGGGGCCUGCGCCAGGACUGCAGGGGCAGAGCAGGCUGGGGGCCUUCGGGAGGGGUGGCCGGGUGGAGGGUGUUGCCGGCCUCGACAGGGGCAGGAGGUUCGUCACAGCGAGGACAGAGCCCGGCCCGGUGGGAGCCGGAGAGCAGCAGGCCUGAAUGACCCAGGGUUUCCUAAUAGCAGGGCCCCUUCCUUGUGUGGGUCCCCUCACUUUGCCUCUCUGCUGGGACAUCCUUCCCUGAAAGGGAGAGGAGGACCACAUGCUGCCCCUUCCCCAGACACAGUCCAGACAGGCCCAGGCCACAGCCCUGGGCAGACGCAAAACUCCCAGGGGCCUGGACUGGGAUAGGGAGGAGGCAGCAGGGAGGGACUGACCUAUGUCCACACACCACAAGGGACUCCCAGAGGCGGGUGGGGCGGAGCUGGGAGCAGGGGCCUUAGCCCUCAGACCAGCCCACUCACCCUGGGGAGUUCCUGCCCCACAGCCUGCCCAGCUUACAGGCCUGGGGGCAGGGGCAGGCCAGCACAGGCCGGAGGGACAGAGGGAGCCACAUCUGAGGGGUCCCCCAGCUGCUCACACCGUCUGAGGCUGUGCUUGCCAACAACUCUGCUCCCAGGAAAUAUUUUGCAAAUCAGGAAAUGACACCGGGCAAGGUGGGAAGCCCACUGCAUCCAGUGGGGUGGGGCCCCUUACUGCCUCCCCUGCUCCGGCAUGACGUGUGACAGGGACGCAGAUGGGACACACACAGCCACACACACACACUCCGGGCUCCCAUUUGGGCAGGGCAGGGGCCUCAGCCACCGGGAAAGAACGCCAAGCAGAGGUCCCCACAGCCACCCUGCAGCUCGGCUGCACCCAAGGAGUUCAGGCCCCUGGGCCAGUGGAGAGCUGUGGUAGAGACUGCAGGAAGAGGGAGGCUGCUCCUGGCCCUCAGGCUGGGGGAAGGGGCUCUGGGGGAAGGGGUGUAGAGGCACCCUCAGGGUGGGGGCGGGCCUGGGGACCCAGGGUCCUGAAGUGGAGGGGUUUCGGUCAGGGACACCAUGCUGGGCAAAAGUUGGGAGAGAUUCAUGGGGUCCAGGUGGGGUCCUGCCCCUGCAGGGGCUAGAAGGGCUGGGCAAAGGCCAACUGUAUACCUGGGGCCUUGAGGAGGGGAACCCUGGCUGGGGGCCCCACCUCCCCCUCAUUUCAUGCCCCCCUCCUGGCUUCCCAGAUGGUGGCCGAUAAGGGAGCUGCUUAGGAUCCAUGGAAGGGGCCAGGCAAGAACCCGGGGGAAGAACCCAGGGGCCUCAACGCAGGGCCCGUUCUGUCCUAGGGGCCGGCACUCGGGCUCUGGCCUUCCUGAAUCGCCCCUUCCUUGCUUCUCUUCCGCCGGCCAGGCCUCUGCUCUCCGGGGCUACGGCCUCCCACAGGCACGUUCCUACAUCCCUCUGUGAACCGCCCACAGGCCCCCCCACAGGUGUUCCUCUGUGAGCUGGUCGGGCGGCCGGGGCCGGGGCCGGGCUUCGCUGCUCCGUGCCUUCCACCUCCCUGGCGGUGCGGGGCCUCAGGGUGGGCCUGGGAAGCUGGAAACACCUUUGGAAACAGCCGCCUGAGGCAGCUGUGGACAGAAGACCCUGCCCAGCAGCCAAGGGAGCUGGCCUCUCCGCUCAGCCUCCCCACCCCCACCAGGCCCAGCUGUUGUUUUCACGGCUCCGGGACCAGGCGGAUCCUCAGCCAAGAGCUUCCCAGGAGAGCCCUCAUCUUCAACCCCUAGUGGCGACCAGAGCCAGCCCGGGCAGGAGGGGAAGGAAGGCGGCCGCGGCCCCGGGGAAGCCAUCCUGGCAGCUUGGCCACUGGCCCGGCUCCUGUCUGACCAGGAAAGGCAUCAAAGCCGGACUCGGAUGGAGGCUGGAAAACCCCGAGACUUCUGCUGGACUCGACCCAGCCACACACCAGGCUGUGCUCAAGGCCACGGAAUGAGCCUUGACCCUGGCCCCAGACGGAGCCCAGACCUUGCUGGUCACAGGCUGAGCCCUGCUGGCAAUAUGAUGUACUAGAUCCCUUAAAAGGCCUUCCAGCAACAACCAACUUCUGGAUGAAUUACUAUGAGCGUACAUUUUUAAUAGACUGUUGUGUUUCCAAGAAAGUAAAUAUCUCCGAGUCUCCCCCAAAAUUAAACAGCAAAAAUAAAUAAGGCCAGGUGGGGUGGCUCAUGCCUGUAAUCCCAACACUUUAGGAGGCUGAGGCGAGAGGAUUGCUUGUGCCUAGGAGUUCGAGACCAGCCUGGGCAACAUGAUGAGACCCCGUCUCUACAAAAAAAUUUAAAAUUAGCUGGGUGUGGUGGUGCACUCUAGUCACAGCUACUUGGGAGGCUGAGGUUAUAGGUGCCCACCACCACGCCCAGCUAAUUUUUUUUUUUUUUUUUUUUGAGACGGAGCCUCGCUCUUUCGCCCAAGCUAGAGUGCAGUGGCGUGAUCUUGGCUCACUGCAAGCUUUGCCUCCCAGGUUCACGCCAUUCUCCUGCCUCAGCCUCCCGAGUAGCUGGUACUACAGGUGCCCGCCACCAAGCCCAGCUAAUUUCUGUAUUUUUUAGUAGAGACGGGGUUUCACCGUGUUAGCCAGGAUGAUCUGGAUCUCCUGAGCUGGUGAUCCGCCCUCCUCGGCUUCCCAAAGUGCUGGGAUUACAGGCGUGAGCCACCGUGCCUGGCCUGGAUAUGUUAACAUAAUAAUUUAAGAUAAAAUGAAUGAGUUAAUCAGCAGAUUAGACGGAAGGGAGUAAUUUGAUGAGGGGGUAAAAGAAAAUGGUGAGGAUAUGGAGAAGGAAUUCGUGGUGAAACUGGACACAAUUGUUGAGGGAUUUCCAGAGCUGAUGAACGUUGUGGACCUGUGGCUUACACCAAACAGGGUGGGUGUGAGCUCGGCACAGCUAGGACGCGCUGGUGAGACCAAGGAACACCAAAGUCAGUGAGGAGAUCUUAGUGUCUCCCGGAGAGAGCCGACCGAGGCUGGCGCAUGUCUGAAUGCGAGCCUGGCCAUAGGCUGAGCCCGGCUGCCGCCACCCCUGGGCUUCUGGAACCCUGGGCUUGGCCGAGCGUGGGUGUCUCCCCUGGGAGCCCCAGAGCCCUGGACGAUGGAGGCCGGGACCUGGGCAGGCGCGGGAGGCCUUGGGCUGGGGCCUGCGCCCCUCCUCUGAGGGCUGCCUGCCGGGCUCUGCCCUGCCCUGCCCUUCCCUCCCCUCUCUUCCCCUCCCCUCUCCUCUCUUUCCCUCACCUCCCCUCUCUUUGCCUCCCC
Molecule: long non-coding RNA, 6374 nt
Filed under: Homo sapiens (human)
Lineage: Eukaryota; Metazoa; Chordata; Mammalia; Primates; Hominidae
Description: HSALNT0289722
Source: RNAcentral